AUGCUUACGAGAAAGGAGGUCUUCAUAACGGGCUGCAAUUUAGUAGCCAGCAAGUGUGUACUCCAAAGACUAUUUGUUUUUGCAAUAUCACAAAUAGGUGUCAUGGAAUCUCAUUCAUUUAGCUAUUGUUAUCAACGGGGUUUUAUUUUGUUUACACAGAUUGAAAUGGUAGUUGAAGUCAUGAAUGCACACAUUGCUGAUCAUGAAAAGAAGGUAGGCAUGAAGUUAAUGGAAAUUGAUCACAGAUUUGAUGUCAAAUACCAGACUCUAGGUGAAGACUUGAUCGACAUGAAGACUAAAACUGGCACUAAUCCUAGGUUGUCGAAGGCCGAGGACGAAAUUAAAGACUUAAGGAGGGAACUCCAUGUAUGUCAUACUGUGCGUUUUGUAUUUUUUAUGAAUAUGUUCCUUCAUGAUCAAGUCAAUGUGUGCAAUUCAUCCCUGACAGGAACUCCUAGGGCUAGCCAAGUCACGACAGGGACUUCGAGUACACCAAGUGCAAUACAUGUGACGGAAAACAAUGAGGAACCACAAUUAACUCCGAUGAAGCCUGUCUUUGGUAAUGAUUACAAGUUCAUGCAUGAGGACAUAGAGACAGCCGUUUACAUCCCCGUAACAUACGACCCUGUUGAAAUAGCUAGAAUCGGAGACAUUACCCUCACAGCAGAAAAUCUGAAGCGAAAUUUGGACGACAAAUACAUUUAUGGUGAUGUUAUUAUGGCAUAUGCUAGCAUUAGCCAAAUUGAGAAUGAUACUACCUCAAUCAUAUCCCCUCAAGAAACCGAAAAGCUGUUACAAAUGAAGGGGGUGGUUCCUGUUGGACGUGCAGCCUCAUGGUUAGCUCGUGUAGCAGGAAAAUUUGUAGGGCGCCGAAAGGUGCAUGUCCCACUGAAUGUACACCAAAACCAUUAG
Molecule: ribosomal RNA, 912 nt
Filed under: Triticum aestivum (bread wheat)
Lineage: Eukaryota; Viridiplantae; Streptophyta; Magnoliopsida; Poales; Poaceae
Description: partial small subunit ribosomal RNA
Source: RNAcentral